GUCUAUUGCCAUACCAUCCUGAACGCGCCCUCUCUCAUCUGACCACGGAAGCUAAGUAGGGUUGGGCCUGGUUAGUGCUUGGAUGGGAGACCGCCUGGGAAUACUGGGAUCUGUAGGUU
Molecule: ribosomal RNA, 119 nt
Filed under: Cebus imitator (Panamanian white-faced capuchin)
Lineage: Eukaryota; Metazoa; Chordata; Mammalia; Primates; Cebidae
Source: RNAcentral